This 474-nucleotide ribosomal RNA is filed under the name Bodianus bimaculatus (twospot hogfish). Its description in RNAcentral is "partial small subunit ribosomal RNA". It matches the Rfam family "Bacterial small subunit ribosomal RNA", at positions 788 to 1491 of the family's 1533-position model. The record is from RNAcentral. Lineage: Eukaryota; Metazoa; Chordata; Actinopteri; Labriformes; Labridae.
CACUAUGCUUAGCCCUAAACACUGAUAACCCCCUACAACCGUUAUCCGCCCGGGUACUACGAGCACCAGCUUAAAACCCAAAGGACUUGGCGGUGCUUUAGAUCCACCUAGAGGAGCCUGUUCUAGAACCGAUAAUCCCCGUUAAACCUCACCUCUCCUUGUUUUUCCCGCCUAUAUACCGCCGUCGUCAGCUUACCCUGUGAGGGACCUAUAGUAAGCACAAUUGGCAAAGCCCAAAACGCCAGGUCGAGGUGUAGCGUAUGGAGAGGGAAGAAAUGGGCUACAUUCAGUGUCUCACUGAAUACGAAAGGUGGGCUGAAACGCCCACCGGAAGGAGGAUUUAGCAGUAAGCAGAAAAUAGAGCGUUCCGCUGAAACUGGCCCUGAAGCGCGUACACACCGCCCGUCACUCUCCCCGAAAUCAAGACCUGCAGUACUUAAAACCUUAUUAUCUAGAAGGGGAGGCAAGUCGUAA